Molecule: ribosomal RNA, 454 nt
Filed under: uncultured bacterium
Lineage: Bacteria
Description: partial 16S ribosomal RNA
Rfam family: Bacterial small subunit ribosomal RNA
Source: RNAcentral
GAUGAACGCUGACAGAAUGCUUAACACAUGCAAGUCUACUUGAACUUCGGUUUGGGUGGCGGACGGGUGAGUAAUGCGUAAAGAACUUGCCUCACAGAUAGGGACAACAUUUGGAAACGAAUGCUAAUACCUGAUAUUAUGAUUUUAGGGCAUCCUAGAAUUAUGAAAGCUAUAUGCACUGUGAGAGAGCUUUGCGUCCCAUUAGCUAGUUGGAGAGGUAACGGCUCACCAAGGCGAUGAUGGGUAGCCGGCCUGAGAGGGUGAUCGGCCACAAGGGGACUGGGACACGGCCCUUACUCCUACGGGAGGCAGCAGUGGGGAAUAUUGGACAAUGGACCAAGAGUCUGAUCCAGCAAUUCUGUGUGCACGAUGAAGUUUUUCGGAAUGUAAAGUGCUUUCAGUUGGGAAGAAAAAAAUGACGGUACCAACAGAAGAAGUGACGGCUAAAUACGUG